UUCAGGGUCAUUAUCGUCCAGCAACUUGAAUUGCUGCAAACUGAGUGUGCACUGAUCGGUACUAGCAAUACUCAUGCGAGCCCAGUAAACUUUAUCUCACAUGGAACCAUGCAUUUCCUUUCCAUUGUGAGCUGUCCCCGGCAUGUUGCUACUGGGUACCUGUUCUGACCGACGUGGUGGAGUGGUGAUGUUGCAGAACGCGUACAACAUGCUCCACAGCGACAUGGUGGCGGCCGUGCGUAUUGCGCACGCAUGCUGUAUGUUCCUCGACGAGCUCAGCACCACAUACCUCUUUCCUGCCCACCACAACGUCAACGAGAACGUCAAUCGAGGUCAUUCCAGUUCAGAAAGAAAAAUACAAUUUCUUUGCUAUCCAUUCAUGAAGAAUUGUACAUUACAGAGUUUUAAAGUAAAUUGAAAAACGAUUGCACCACAAACCACUUUUUAUUUAAAUUUGUUGUACCUACUACAUCUCAUAUUGUUAAAUGUCAGGUCAACAUACUGGGGAUAUAUACAUGACAAAAGAACAGAGCAAACUCCUUUUUUAUCCAAAUCAUUGUUCACUGAAGUGGAGUUGUUUCUCAGAGACCUCACUAAUAGGGUGAGCUUACAAGACUGAUCAUUGUUAGUCUUCAGCUGGAAACCAAGCAAAAGAUGUCAUACUGUUGUAACCAUGUUUGAAGACAAUUUCGUUGCCUCUUGUUUGAAGAUGGCAAUUGUCAUAAUGCGUGGUUUGUCAAAAAUAUGUCCACUGUGACAUGCGUAUAUGUAUUAAUAAUUUGUCAGUUAUUUGUACCUAUCUGUUUUGCCUAGAUGAUUAUUGUAAAUGCUCUUAUCGCAAUGUACCAUCCUGUAUUAUUCAUGUUA
Non-coding RNA from Oryza sativa Japonica Group (Japanese rice), 867 nucleotides. NCBI's taxonomy places the organism in Eukaryota, Viridiplantae, Streptophyta, Magnoliopsida, Poales, Poaceae. The record is from RefSeq and is a predicted model, not a curated record.